AAGCUGCAUUUCUCUCUGUCUGCAUUUGGGAUUUGUUCAUAGAGUCAGUGGAGAGAUUAAACCUCACCUACAGUCUAAGAAAUCAAGCACCGGCCAGAUAUUCUGAUAAAGACAAAAGGACCAUCCUCCUUAGAGCAGAAAUGAAUGAGCAGAAGGUGAUUUAUUCUGAGAUGAAAUUUCAGCCAUGUUCCAAAAAGCAGAAGAGAAAAUAUCUGGACAAACCUAAAAGCAAAGAAAGGAGCAAGAAAGAGAUGACCUAUGCAGAACUGAAAUGCCACAUUCCUGAACAGCAAGGACGACAAG
Long non-coding RNA from Ornithorhynchus anatinus (platypus), 303 nucleotides. RefSeq lists it as uncharacterized. The record is from RefSeq and is a predicted model, not a curated record. Lineage: Eukaryota; Metazoa; Chordata; Mammalia; Monotremata; Ornithorhynchidae. The transcript has 3 exons.